RNAcentral lists this non-coding RNA (23 nucleotides) under Gallus gallus (chicken). The record is from RNAcentral. Lineage: Eukaryota; Metazoa; Chordata; Aves; Galliformes; Phasianidae. RNAcentral also lists the same sequence under 20 other names.
UAAUACUGCCUGGUAAUGAUGAC